CGUUCCCGGGCCUUGUACACACCGCCCGUCACACCAUGGGAGUUGGUUUUACCCGAAGCCGGUGCUCUAACCCGCAAGGAGGUAGCCGACCACGGUAAGGUCAGCGACUGGGGUG
This 115-nucleotide ribosomal RNA is filed under the name uncultured bacterium. Its description in RNAcentral is "partial 16S ribosomal RNA". It matches the Rfam family "Bacterial small subunit ribosomal RNA", at positions 1369 to 1482 of the family's 1533-position model. The record is from RNAcentral.